This 742-nucleotide ribosomal RNA is filed under the name uncultured bacterium. RNAcentral's name for it is "bacterial SSU rRNA". It matches the Rfam family "Bacterial small subunit ribosomal RNA", at positions 8 to 798 of the family's 1533-position model. The record is from RNAcentral.
AGAGUUUGAUCAUGGCUCAGAGCGAACGCUGGCGGCAGGCCUAAUACAUGCAAGUCGAACGGCUCUUCGGAGCAGUGGCGGACGGGUGAGUAACGCGUGGGAACGUGCCCUUUGGUUCGGAACAACACAGGGAAACUUGUGCUAAUACCGAAUGUGCCCUUCGGGGGAAAGAUUUAUCGCCAUUGGAGCGGCCCGCGUUGGAUUAGCUAGUUGGUGGGGUAAAGGCCCACCAAGGCUACGAUCCAUAGCUGGUCUGAGAGGAUGAUCAGCCACACUGGGACUGAGACACGGCCCAGACUCCUACGGGAGGCAGCAGUAGGGAAUCUUGCGCAAUGGGCGAAAGCCUGACGCAGCCAUGCCGCGUGAAUGAUGAAGGUCUUAGGAUUGUAAAAUUCUUUCACCGGGGAAGAUAAUGACGGUACCCGGAGAAGAAGCCCCGGCUAACUUCGUGCCAGCAGCCGCGGUAAUACGAAGGGGGCUAGCGUUGCUCGGAAUUACUGGGCGUAAAGGGCGCGUAGGCGGACAUUUAAGUCAGAGGUGAAAGCCCAGGGCUCAACCUUGGAAUUGCCUUUGAUACUGGAUGUCUUGAGUUCGGGAGAGGUGAGUGGAAUGCCGAGUGUAGAGGUGAAAUUCGUAGAUAUUCGGCGGAACACCAGUGGCGAAGGCGACUCACUGGUCCGAUACUGACGCUGAGGCGCGAAAGCGUGGGGAGCAAACAGGAUUAGAUACCCCGGUAGUCCAA